This 510-nucleotide ribosomal RNA is filed under the name Yamadazyma lessepsii. RNAcentral describes it as "eukaryotic LSU rRNA". It matches the Rfam family "Eukaryotic large subunit ribosomal RNA", at positions 41 to 646 of the family's 3401-position model. The record is from RNAcentral. Lineage: Eukaryota; Fungi; Ascomycota; Pichiomycetes; Serinales; Debaryomycetaceae.
UAUCACUAAGCGGAGCAAACGGGCCCCUGCNUCGCUCCUAAGUUGUAACUUGAAGGAACCGUAUCUUUGGUUUUGGCUCUUGUCUAUGUUCCUUGGAACAGGACGUCACAGAGGGUGAGAAUCCCGUGCGAUGAGAUGCCCAAUUCCAUGUAAAGUUCCUUCGACGAGUCGAGUUGUUUGGGAAUGCAGCUCUAAGUGGGUGGUAAAUUCCAUCUAAAGCUAAAUAUUGGCGAGAGACCGAUAGCGAACAAGUACUGUGAAGGAAAGAUGAAAAGAACUUUGAAAAGAGAGUGAAAAAGUACGUGAAAUUGUUGAAAGGGAAGGGCUUGAGAUCAGACUUGGAAUUUUCCAGCAAUGGAGCUUUCCGGGCCAGCAUCAGUUUGGAUGGCAGGAUAAUUGCGUAGGAAAGUGGCACCACCCUCGGUGGUGUGUUAUAGCCUGCGUCGAUACUGCCUAUCUAGACUGAGGACUGCGUCUUUGACUAGGAUGCUGGCAUAAUGAUCUUAAGCC